UCCUGUUUAAAAGACCUUCCAGGGCACAGUGAAGUGUUUAGUUCAACCUCGCAUAGACAGAGCAAUGGAAAAAGCAGAGACCGUAAGCUGAAGUCUGAUUGGAGGAAUGGCGUGCCAAUCGACCCUGCACCAGUGAUCAGGGUAUGUGGCAGUCCUCCCACUAUAACUCUUCUCUUACUGCAUACAGUAAUGUGCCUGCUGUUUGUCUGUGAAGUGUCUUCAAAGCACUGUAAGAUGUGACUUUUCGGCUUACGUGUUUCAAGCCAUAACUGGUUUGAAACACAUCCCAACAGAAUAUCGUGACUUUUUUAGCAGUUUCACUGUUAGGCUUCACUGGCUACUAAGCAUGGAUGUGAAUGAUAGAGACACAAAUAGUUCUGGAGAGAGUUUACUGUUUUAGGGAAAAUAUCUAAUUUUAGUGACCAUUAUUGCAAUUAUUUUAAAUAAAUAAACUUCAGCUCUGCAUCUGUGAGGACUGGUCCCAGGCCUCUAAACUGCUGCCCUGCUUGUCCAGUUUUUGCCAGCAAUUUAAAAAAGGUCUGAGGCUGCUCUUGUAAGUGGCUGUUUUCCCAGAUGGAGAAUCAGGACAGUCAAUCAGGGGUACUUCACUACCCCCUAUUCCUGGAGGUCCCAAUUCAGACCUUUUAAAUGGAAACUCUUAAAACAAUGAUAUGAUAUUGUUUGAUUCAAGUAUGAAGGAUAAUAAUACAAAAGUUUAACCAUGAUUUGGGUAACAUUUUGAGGGUGAAGUUGUCAUUCUAGCUGCUCUGGCCAUUACAACAGUUUAAAAUGUCCUUGAAACAGUGAGGUGAUUAACUGAAUAAUAAUAGUUGACACCUGAUUUUUUUGAUGAAUUCAGAAAGAGUAUGAAAGCAUAAAAAUUCACAGCUUCCUAAAUAUUUGCUGGUUUUCAAAGUCUUCUGUGAAAGUAGCUUGAAUCUUUGUAUCUUUGGGUUUUGGAUUGCUGGUCAGACAAAACAUGACAUGUCCUUGAGCAUCAGAACUUGAUAAUGG
This 1014-nucleotide long non-coding RNA is filed under the name Oreochromis niloticus (Nile tilapia). RNAcentral's name for it is "lncRNA (ENSONIG00000029321.1)". The record is from RNAcentral. Lineage: Eukaryota; Metazoa; Chordata; Actinopteri; Cichliformes; Cichlidae.